This 404-nucleotide ribosomal RNA is filed under the name Verrucomicrobiota bacterium. RNAcentral describes it as "Verrucomicrobia bacterium partial 16S ribosomal RNA". It matches the Rfam family "Bacterial small subunit ribosomal RNA", at positions 355 to 776 of the family's 1533-position model. The record is from RNAcentral. Lineage: Bacteria; Pseudomonadati; Verrucomicrobiota.
UGGGGAAUAUUGGACAAUGGGCGCAAGCCUGAUCCAGCCAUGCCGCGUGAGUGAUGAAGGCCCUAGGGUUGUAAAGCUCUUUCACCGGUGAAGAUAAUGACGGUAACCGGAGAAGAAGCCCCGGCUAACUUCGUGCCAGCAGCCGCGGUAAUACGAAGGGGGCUAGCGUUGUUCGGAUUUACUGGGCGUAAAGCGCACGUAGGCGGACUUUUAAGUCAGGGGUGAAAUCCCGGGGCUCAACCCCGGAACUGCCUUUGAUACUGGAAGUCUUGAGUAUGGUAGAGGUGAGUGGAAUUCCGAGUGUAGAGGUGAAAUUCGUAGAUAUUAAAAAGAAUACCGGUGGCGAAGGCGACUUACUGGGCUCAUUCUGACGCUGAGGAACGAAAGCGUGGGUAGCAAACAGG